This 253-nucleotide ribosomal RNA is filed under the name uncultured bacterium. Its description in RNAcentral is "partial 16S ribosomal RNA". It matches the Rfam family "Bacterial small subunit ribosomal RNA", at positions 524 to 776 of the family's 1533-position model. The record is from RNAcentral.
UACAGAGGGUGCAAGCGUUGUUCGGAAUCAUUGGGCGUAAAGCGCGUGUAGGCGGUGACUUAAGUCUGGUGUGAAAUCCCUCAGCUUAACUGAGGAAGUGCGCUGGAUACUGGGUUGCUAGAGGACGGGAGAGGGUAGCGGAAUUCCUGGUGUACCGGUGAAAUGGGUAGAUAUCAGGAAGAACAUCGGUGGCGAAGGCGGCUACCUGGUCCGUAUCUGACGCUGAGACGCGAAAGCGUGGGGAGCAAACAGG